Molecule: ribosomal RNA, 406 nt
Filed under: uncultured bacterium
Lineage: Bacteria
Description: partial 16S ribosomal RNA
Rfam family: Bacterial small subunit ribosomal RNA
Source: RNAcentral
AUUGAACGCUGGCGGCAGGCCUAACACAUGCAAGUCGCACGAGUGGCGGACGGGUGAGUAAUGUCUGGGAAACUGCCCGAUGGAGGGGGAUAACUACUGGACACGGUAGCUAAUACCGCAUACCAUCGGAUGUGCACAGAUGGGAUUAGCUAGUAGGUGGGGUAAUGGCUCACCUAGGCGACGAUACCUAGCUGGUCUGAGAGGAUGACCAGCCACACAUGAACUGCGACCCGUUCAAGACUCCUACGGGAGGCAGCAGUGGGGAAUAAUGCACAAUGGGCGCAAGCCUGAUGCAGCCAUGCCGCGUGUAUGAAGAAGGCCUUCGGGUUGUAAAGUACUUUCAGCGAGGAGGCGUUACUCGCAGAAGAAGCACCGGCUAACUCCGUGCCAGAAGCCGCGGUAAUAC